CGAGCAGGCAAGACAGCGGCGUGCGCAAGCCGAAAGGCUGCGCAUGAGGAAAGUCCGGGCUUCACAGGGCGGGAUAGCUGCUAACGGCAGCCGAAGGCGACUUCAGGGAAAGUGCAACAGAGAGAUACCGCCGGUUUUUCCGGCAAGGGUGGAAAGGCGAGGUAAGAGCUCACCGGCGGCGCGGCGACGCGCCGGCCAUGCAAACCCUAUCCGAAGCAACACCGCACCGAGGGCAAAACGGCGGCCCGCCGGCCCUCAUCAGGUGGCUGGAGCCGCGCGGCGACGCGCGGCCAAGAUAGAUCGUUGUCAUUUACAGAACCCGGCUUAUCAGUCUGGUCGCAAA
Molecule: RNase P RNA, 343 nt
Filed under: Candidatus Fimivivens faecavium
Lineage: Bacteria; Bacillati; Bacillota; Clostridia; Eubacteriales; Oscillospiraceae
Description: RNase P RNA component class A
Rfam family: Bacterial RNase P class A
About the family: Ribonuclease P (RNase P) is a ubiquitous endoribonuclease, found in archaea, bacteria and eukarya as well as chloroplasts and mitochondria. Its best characterised activity is the generation of mature 5'-ends of tRNAs by cleaving the 5'-leader elements of precursor-tRNAs.
Source: RNAcentral